This 195-nucleotide non-coding RNA is filed under the name Desulfosporosinus sp. Lineage: Bacteria; Bacillati; Bacillota; Clostridia; Eubacteriales; Desulfitobacteriaceae. RNAcentral also lists the same sequence under 1 other name. The record is from RNAcentral.
UUGAAUAAUACAAAAAUGAGUACACUUUCCUUCUUACUUUGAAGAAAGUGUUUAAAAGGGAAGUCAGUUUAAUUCUGACGCGGUCCCGCCACUGUAAUAAGGAGUAGCCUUACAAUAUGUCACUGGAUUUGUCCGGGAAGACGUAAGGCUAUGAUGAACCUAAGCCAGGAAACCUGCUCAUUUGAAAUUCACCUU